AGAGUUUGAUCCUGGCUCAGGACGAACGCUGGCGGCGUGCUUAACACAUGCAAGUCGAGCGGAAAGGCCCUUCGGGGUACUCGAGCGGCGAACGGGUGAGUAACACGUGAGCAACCUGCCCCUGGCUCUGGGAUAGCCUCCGGAAACGGGGAUUAAUACCGGAUAUUCACUGCUUCCUGCAUGGGGGGUGGUGGAAAGUUUUUCGGUCAGGGUGGGGCUCGCGGCCUAUCAGCUUGUUGGGGGGUGACGGCCCACCAAGGCGACGACGGGUAGCCGGCCUGAGAGGGCGACCGGCCACACUGGGACUGAGACACGGCCCAGACUCCUACGGGAGGCAGCAGUGGGGAAUAUUGCGCAAUGGGCGCAAGCCUGAACGAGCAACGCCGCGUGUGGGACGGAGGCCUUCGGGUUGUAAACCACUUUUCUUGGGAACGAGUAUACGGACGGUACCCGAGGAAGAAGUCUCGGCUAACUACGUGCCAGCAGCCGCGGUAAUACGUAGGAGACGAGCGUUGUCCGGAGUUACUGGGCGUAAAGGGGGCGCAGGCGGCACGUCGCGUGGGGGGUGAAAUCUCCUGGCUCAACUGGGAGGGGGCCUUCCAAACGGGCGUGCUUGAGGCGUGGAGAGGGACGUGGAAUUCCGGGUGGAGCGGUGAAAUGCGUAGAGAUCCGGAGGAACACCGACGGCGAAGGCAGCGUCCUGGCCACGACCUGACGCUCAGGCCCGAAAGCUGGGGGAGCAAACAGGAUUAGAUACCCUGGUAGUCCCAGCUGUAAACGAUGUCCACCAGGUGCCGGGGGUAUCGACCCCUUCGGUGCCGCAGCUAACGUGAUGAGUGGACCGCCUGGGGAGUACGGCCGCAAGGUUAAAACUCAAAGGAAUUGACGG
RNAcentral lists this ribosomal RNA (889 nucleotides) under uncultured bacterium. RNAcentral's name for it is "bacterial SSU rRNA". It matches the Rfam family "Bacterial small subunit ribosomal RNA", at positions 8 to 916 of the family's 1533-position model. The record is from RNAcentral.